This 173-nucleotide unclassified non-coding RNA is filed under the name uncultured fungus. RNAcentral's name for it is "sequence contains ITS1, 5.8S rRNA gene". The record is from RNAcentral. Lineage: Eukaryota; Fungi.
CCGAGUACCUGUACCCUUUUUGGGUACUUACUCCCACCAUUUGUGAACCUUUUUCGUUGCCUCGGCGGACCGAUGGUACCCCCAUCCUUCGGCGUAAAAGUUGAAGAGUGUUCGCCAGAGGAUUUUCAAACCAGUCUUAAUUGUGAAAUCUGAGUUUAAUCAAAAUAAAAACA